Long non-coding RNA from Myripristis murdjan (pinecone soldierfish), 1085 nucleotides. RefSeq lists it as uncharacterized. Lineage: Eukaryota; Metazoa; Chordata; Actinopteri; Holocentriformes; Holocentridae. The record is from RefSeq and is a predicted model, not a curated record. The transcript has 2 exons.
GGGGCAAGCAGUGCCACCCAUGUUAUCUAGAAAAUCAUAGAGGAAGUUGGUCAUGUGACCACAUAUUUUUGAAAAGGCAUCCAUUUCACUCAUCCUGCAAAGAAGGGAGACACAUGGCUUGAGAGGUUAGCAGCUCAUGCUCACCUGAUGUCCUUUUGGAGGCUGAUACGCCAACAGCACAUCAGCUGUUAUGUGUGACCAGAGCACAGCAAGAGCAAGAGUCACACCUCGACUGUUGUUCAUCUGUGCAUUCUCCUGAAGACACACUGACUAUGUUUACACGGACUGCAAUAUUCUGUUAUUAACCCGAUUAAUACUUGUCAGGUUAUUGAAAGGUUUUUUCAUCAUCUAUACACCUUAAUUUUAAUAUGACAUUGUUACUGAGUUUUUGCAGCAGAUUGCAGGACAUAUGGCAAACCAACUACUUGGAUCCUAGUGUUCUUUUAAUGACUUUUAUAUUGAAUCCAUGAACUUGUGUGCUGGAGAAGAUGACAACACUUUUGUGGUGAGGCAGAAACUCAGUGCAUGUUAAAUAUUUUCUGUGAAAUGGACAUAUCUUAUGUGGUGCUUGGUAAAGCCAGGCUAAAUCAUGUUAUGCACUGCAGCCUAUAAAUGGGAAUAUGAAUGGAGUAGCCCUUCCCACAGACUCUAUGGGUGACGAGGAGAUCCUGAAGCGAUCUGGUAUCAUGGCUCUCCUCAAGCUCCCUGUUUGCUUUUAUAUCGCUGGAAUUUAAUGCAUAUAUUCUAAUCUUUUUACAGUGCACAUUAUGUAAGCACUUUUUGCUUGGAGCCAAACAAUUGAACCAGCAACAUACUGAUUGUCAGAUGAUCUGCUCUACAUCUGCAUGUAACUUAUAUUUUCAUUGUUUUUACAUUAUAUUGCCCUUACAAGACCUCUUGUUCAGUGGUCUUAUUUUACAAAAAAAAGAAAAAGAUCCAUCAUACUUUGUAGCUUUACAGUGUAUUGCUGUCAAAAUAGACGUUUGCAGUGAGGAUUCAUUUUUUUCAAUGAUCUGUUCAACUGUUUAUUAACACUACACUGAACACUAAUAUAAAUUUCUGAAAAUUAAAACUGCCAGCGAUUC